Molecule: ribosomal RNA, 398 nt
Filed under: Bos taurus (domestic cattle)
Lineage: Eukaryota; Metazoa; Chordata; Mammalia; Artiodactyla; Bovidae
Description: SSU rRNA
Rfam family: Eukaryotic small subunit ribosomal RNA
Source: RNAcentral
GCGGUAAUUCCAGCUCCAAUAGCGUAUAUUAAAGUUGCUGCAGUUAAAAAGCUCGUAGUUGGAUCUUGGGAGCGGGCGGGCGGUCCGCCGCGAGGCGAGCCACCGGCCGUCCCCGCCCCUUGCCUCUCGGCGCCCCCUCGAUGCUCUUAGCUGAGUGUCCCGCGGGGCCCGAAGCGUUUACUUUGAAAAAAUUAGAGUGUUCAAAGCAGGCCCGAGCCGCCUGGAUACCGCAGCUAGGAAUAAUGGAAUAGGACCGCGGUUCUAUUUUGUUGGUUUUCGGAACUGAGGCCAUGAUUAAGAGGGACGGCCGGGGGCAUUCGUAUUGCGCCGCUAGAGGUGAAAUUCUUGGACCGGCGCAAGACGGACCAGAGCGAAAGCAUUUGCCAAGAAUGUUUUCA